This 357-nucleotide long non-coding RNA is filed under the name Mytilus galloprovincialis (Mediterranean mussel). Lineage: Eukaryota; Metazoa; Mollusca; Bivalvia; Mytilida; Mytilidae. The record is from RNAcentral.
GGUUAAGAACUGGAAUGAACUGUUAUGUGCAUUAGCUUCCAGAUAUAAAAAUAAAAUAUAUAUUUUUUUAUUGUUAAAUCAUUAAUAAAAAUGAUAUAGUGAAAUUAUAAUUCACUGUUAGCAGCCAAUCUGCUUCUAUUUUGUUAAAUUAGCUGCGAAACAAGGUUGAUGAGUUGUGCACCUGCUAGUGAAUAUUUGGACCUCAUUGAAUACGUAUUCAUGUGACCUUCAAUUCAACCCCUAGCUGGAGAUGGGUUAUCGAUGUAUUAAGCUAUUACAAUUGUAAGAGUUUUGCAGAACAAAUAGUCUCGCCUACUUUUGCUGUUAAUCGCAGGCUCAACAAAAAUGAGGAAAAAA